This 492-nucleotide ribosomal RNA is filed under the name uncultured bacterium. RNAcentral's name for it is "partial 16S ribosomal RNA". It matches the Rfam family "Bacterial small subunit ribosomal RNA", at positions 29 to 507 of the family's 1533-position model. The record is from RNAcentral.
AGUGAACGCUGGCGGUAGGCCUAACACAUGCAAGUCGAACGGCAGCACAGUAAGAGCUUGCUCUUACGGGUGGCGAGUGGCGGACGGGUGAGGAAUACAUCGGAAUCUACUUUUUCGUGGGGGAUAACGUAGGGAAACUUACGCUAAUACCGCAUACGACCUACGGGUGAAAGCAGGGGAUCUUCGGACCUUGCGCGAUUGAAUGAGCCGAUGUCGGAUUAGCUAGUUGGCGGGGUAAAGGCCCACCAAGGCGACGAUCCGUAGCUGGUCUGAGAGGAUGAUCGGCCACACUGGAACUGAGGCACGGUCCAGACUCCUACGGAAGGCAGCAGUGGGGAAUAUUGGACAAUGGGCGCAAGCCUGAUCCAGCCAUACCGCGUGAGUGAAGAAGGCCUUCGGGUUGUAAAGCCCUUUUGUUGGGAAAGAAAAGCAGCAGGUUAAUACCCCGCUGUUCUGACGGUACCCAAAGAAUAAGCACCGGCUAACUUCGUG